Molecule: non-coding RNA, 846 nt
Organism: Drosophila melanogaster (fruit fly)
Lineage: Eukaryota; Metazoa; Arthropoda; Insecta; Diptera; Drosophilidae
Source: Ensembl
GGCCCAGUUGUUCAGCUGUUUGGAAUUGAUAUGUCCGAAGUUCAGUUAAAUUGACUAGGAUGCGGGUGCGGAAAUUUCCACUCGUUAAACUUACAUCUUCCGCAGUCACAAAGAAAUUCCACGGGGUCAUGGUACCAAUGCCCAACAGGUAGAACACGAGGUAGGUGAAGAGUCGUCCACUCUCGGGUUCGUUGGACACCAAAACUACCUCGUCCUGCUGGCGUUCCAUGAGACAUUGCUCAUCCGCAUGGUGGUCCUGCGGACGAAAAGCGGGAACGAAGCUGCCCUCCGUGCCCAGAAUCUCGUCAUCCUCGUCCAGGGCGUCCACCAGUCGUCGUGUGUCACUGGUGCCUGGCAUUGCCACUGAAUUGCACUACUGUUUUGUACGCAGCCCUUGGUAUUCAUAAAUUUACAACACCUCUGGCGGAUUAUUCACAUCUGUAAUUGUGGAGAAGUAUUCGAUGUAACUUAAUCUGAUGCAAUUUACUUUCAUGUGUAUCAUUUAGCACGGACGAACUGCGUAACAUAAAAACGAAUUUGUAAACAACAAAGCAAGACAUUAUACAAAAAAUAUCGAUGGCUUAUCGAGAGGAAUCGAUUAAAUGAAAAUAUCUAAGAUAUCGCACUAACACCACAAAACCGUUCACCCAGGUUGGCAGCCCUUGGCGCGAAAUGUGAUGGGAUUCAAACUGCAUCUUAGUUUUGCAUCUUAGUCCUAUAUUUUAGAGGACUGUGAAAUUGGAUUUUAUUUGCAAAACGAGCGUAGCAUCCACCUCAAAUCGUAAUUUAAUUGCCAGCCAGAGCAGCAACAAUAAAAACACCAAUAUCAAGCAGACCCUAGAGCUG